AGUGGAAUUGCUGAGUCAUAUGGAAACUUAACAUUUUGAGAAACUGCCAAACUAUUUUCCAAUGUGGCUGUAAUAAUUUACAUCCCUAUCAGCGAU
Molecule: microRNA precursor, 96 nt
Filed under: Marmota monax (woodchuck)
Lineage: Eukaryota; Metazoa; Chordata; Mammalia; Rodentia; Sciuridae
Source: RNAcentral